GGGGGACAGAGGCAGAGCGUGCAGUGCUCAGAGGCUGCUUCUCAAUGGAGGGAUGCAGACGGAGAAAGAGGAGAGAUUCCACUACAGUUAAUUAAGGACCACUCUGCAUGUGCCUGUAAAUGCGAGGAGGCAAAUCUAUUCUGUGUCAGUGGCAGGGUGCCCUCGAGGGAUAACAGUGAUAUUUUCAAAGGUGGAAAUGACAGUGCUCUAAGUCUGUUUCCAGAGUCUGGCUUGAGUGUCAGUUUCAGUGAGCCUGCUGCUGUGUUUUCGUCAAAGUGAAGUCGACGAAGAGAGUGUGAGAGGAGUUCACUCCUCAAAACCAUCAAAGGAGUUGGGUUAGAUCCACAUGAGCUACAGCAUGGAUGGAUGUAACAUGUGUUAAGACACACCUAUACUCCUGCCUGGAUUGUUCAGAUGUGCCCUGUCAUGUCCUGGCUGCUCUGCCUGUGUCUCUGGGUCAGUGUGACGACCAUUCAGCUGUGCCAGGCCACCUUCUAUGACACCAUCCAGCAGCACCAUGUGACACGGCCCGGACGCGUCUCCAUCCACAUGAUAGAAGGAGGCACAUGUGAGGUGAUUGCUGCUCACCGAUGCUGUAACAAGAACCGCAUAGAGGAGCGCUCCCAGACAGUCAAGUGCUCCUGUCUACCAGGGAAGGUGGCAGGGACCACCCGGAACAGGCCCUCCUGUGUGGAUGCAUCCAUAGUAAUUGGGAAGUGGUGGUGUGAGAUGGAGCCGUGCCUGGAGGGAGAGGAGUGCAAGACGCUCCCUGACAACUCCGGCUGGAUGUGCUACGCUGGCAACAAGAUCAAAACCACCAGGAACACCCAGCCAUACACAUCGAUAUAUUAAAACCUGGCAGCAGAGCAGAGUUACUUAACAGGUUGGCCUCGUCAUAAUUGUGCCACAUCAUUAGCACCAUGCUAUGAGUUACACCUAACAAAAACCUUCGCAUAUACUCAACAAGCCUGAAAAUCCUGGAUAAAAGACAUGACUACAUGUGCAUAUACUACAACCACUGCUGCGGGCUGCUGACAAAUGACACAGUUCAAAAGUAUUCCCAUGGGGAGCAUGGUAUAACUUGGUGAUGAAUUAACUUUCAUCCUUUGGAGAGGAACAUGAACACUACUGCCUUUGGAUAAAGACUGUGUCUGAUAUUCCUCCUCUGGCAUCUAUAAACUGAUGUUGAUUCUGAAGCUCUCACGUAGAGACACUUGCGGUGUUAGGGUUGGUUUGAGAAAAUGGUGGUUGACAGCCCUCAGGUUUCUUAGAGUACUCAUUUGUACAUACAAUGUUCAUGUCUUUCUAUGUGUACAGGACGAUGAAGGUCAUAAGUCUCUUACUGAAGUCCCUGAAAGCAUCAUCUCUACUCUUCGUGUAGUUGUGAUCAAAUACAAAGCCAAAUGUUUGUACUGAAAAUAUUGAAAUCUAUAUUGAGGGUUUGAACAUGAUGAUGUACUUAUAGUUCUUGACCUCCCAGUCCACUUACAGUACACCUAGUGUCUCUGAAUUGGUUCAGAUGAAAUACAUAUUAUCUGUUAUCUUGCUAUUGGGCUAUUGAGUCAGACAAAAGUCUGAAGAGGGCACAUGACCCAUCUGAAGCUAAUCUCAAGUCUUUUUAGGUUGAGGUCCCGGUUUUGUUGUUGGGCGCAUAGGGUUGCCAAAAGGAUCUUUUCCAAAUACAAAAUGGUGUUUCUUGUUACAUUCUGUAAAUGUUCUGUUUGUCUGUGUUUGUAUGCCUUUCUUCAUACACGACUCUAUAACAUUUACAGAAAAUAACUUCUACUCAUUAGAAAUCCUUUAAUUGUGCACCAAAAAUUACAGUUUGUGUGUAUUUUCCCUUAAAUGCCUUAUUUGUGUCAAUUUAUUCAACAAUACUGUACAUAAUACGGUAAUCAUGGAUACAUAUGUCUUUAAUCU
This is an RNA transcript of Osmerus eperlanus (European smelt), 1920 nucleotides long. It is a transcript of the gene named chemokine-like protein TAFA-1, with no coding region annotated. NCBI's taxonomy places the organism in Eukaryota, Metazoa, Chordata, Actinopteri, Osmeriformes, Osmeridae. The record is from RefSeq and is a predicted model, not a curated record. The transcript has 6 exons.